Molecule: ribosomal RNA, 616 nt
Filed under: Mycoplasma ovis
Lineage: Bacteria; Bacillati; Mycoplasmatota; Mollicutes; Mycoplasmatales; Mycoplasmataceae
Description: bacterial SSU rRNA
Rfam family: Bacterial small subunit ribosomal RNA
Source: RNAcentral
UAUACGGCCCAUAUUCCUACGGGAAGCAGCAGUGAGGAAUUUUUCACAAUGGACGAAAGUCUGAUGGAGCAAUACCACGUGAACGAUGAAGGUCUUCUGAUUGUAAAGUUCUUUUAUUUAGGAAAAAAAGCGCGCUAGGAAAUGAGCGCGCCUUGAUGGUACUAAUUGAAUAAGUGACAGCUAACUAUGUGCCAGCAGCUGCGGUAAAACAUAGGUCACAAGCAUUAUCCGGAUUUAUUGGGCGUAAAGGAAGCGUAGGCGGGGAGGCUGAUCCAUUGUUAAAGGCAUUUGCUCAACAAAUGUGUGCGAUGGAGAUCUCCUCCCUAGAGUUAAUCAGGGGGUACUGGAAUUCAAUGUGUAGCGGUGGAAUGCGUAGAUAUAUUGAGGAACACCAGAGGCUAAGGCGAGUACCUGGGAUAUAACUGACGCUGAGGCUUGAAAGCGUGGGGAGCAAAUGGGAUUAGAUACCCCAGUAGUCCACGCCGUAAACGAUGAGCAUUAGGUAUUUGAUGUUAGGUCGAGUGCUGUAGCUAACGCGUUAAAUGCUCCGCCUGGGUAGUAUAUAUGCAAAUAUGAAACUCAAAGAAAUUGACGGGGACCUGAACAAGUGGUGGAG